RNAcentral lists this ribosomal RNA (331 nucleotides) under uncultured bacterium. Its description in RNAcentral is "bacterial SSU rRNA". It matches the Rfam family "Bacterial small subunit ribosomal RNA", at positions 568 to 898 of the family's 1533-position model. The record is from RNAcentral.
AGUGUAGGCGGGAUCGUAAGUUAGGAGUUUAAUACAUGGGCUUAACCCAUGAGCUGCUUUUAAUACUGCGGUUCUUGAGUAUGGGAGAGGGCGAUGGAAUUCCAGGUGUAGCGGUGGAAUGCGUAGAUAUCUGGAAGAACACCAGUAGCGAAGGCGGUCGCCUGGCCCAAUACUGACGCUGAUGCUCGAAAGCUAGGGGAGCAAACAGGAUUAGAUACCCUGGUAGUCCUAGCCGUAAACGAUGGACACUAGUUGCUGGAGGAGUCAAUCCUUUCGGUGACGAAGCUAACGCAUUAAGUGUCCCGCCUGGGAGUACGUUCGCAAGGAUGAA